RNAcentral lists this long non-coding RNA (627 nucleotides) under Monodelphis domestica (gray short-tailed opossum). RNAcentral describes it as "lncRNA (ENSMODG00000030923.2)". Lineage: Eukaryota; Metazoa; Chordata; Mammalia; Didelphimorphia; Didelphidae. The record is from RNAcentral.
GGACACACAUGUACACAGGCACAGACGGACACACGCACGGACACAGACACGGACACACAUUGACCACUCUCCCUCCCCUCCCCCCCCGUGCCAUUUGGGAAUAUUGGGAUGAGACAUUCCUCUGGGAUCCGUGAGAAAAGUUUGACUUGUCCUCUUGAUGCCUAAUCAAGACCGGAGCGUGUGUCUGCGUUAGGGUUCUCCCUUUCGGGUUCCCCACCCACUUUCCUGCCGCAGCUCCGCGUUUCUGCCUCCGCCGGGGAGCGGAAAGAGCUGGAUGGAUUAGCCGCUGCCUUUUGUGCAGAAGAUCUUCCCCGGCAGGCAGCAUCGAUCCUGGUAGCUUUCGCUUUGCAGGCAGCAGCUACGCUGAAUAGGAGCGUGUGCCAGAGAGCAGCCUGCGCAUGGCUGGGGCUUGGGAAGGAGAUAGACUGUUAUCUAUCCGGUCAAGUGGCAAAAAAUUGGAAAAUGAGGGGAUGUCCCUCAACUGGAGAAUGGCUGAACAAAUUGUAGCAUAUGAUGUUGAUGGAAUACUAUUGUACAAUAAGGAAUGAUAAACUUCUUGAUUUCUAUACGUGCUGGAAAGACCUCCACAAACUGAUGUGAAAUAAAAUAUGCAGAAUCAGGAGAGCA